UGGGGAAUUUUGGACAAUGGGCGCAAGCCUGAUCCAGCCAUGCCGCGUGCAGGAAGAAGCAUCUAUGGUGUGUAAACUGCUUUUGUACGGGAAGAAACACUCCUUCGUGAAGGAGCUUGACGGUACCGUAAGAAUAAGGAUCGGCUAACUCCGUGCCAGCAGCCGAGGUAAUACGGAGGAUCCAAGCGUUAUCCGGAAUCAUUGGGUUUAAAGGGUCCGUAGGCGGUUUAGUAAGUCAGUGGUGAGAGCCCAUCGCUCAACGAUGGAACGGCCAUUGAUACUGCUAGACUUGAAUUAUUAGGAAGUAACUAGAAUAUGUAGUGUAGCGGUGAAAUGCUUAGAUAUUACAUGGAAUACCAAUUGCGAAGGCAGCUUACUAUGGUUUUAUUGACGCCGAGGCACGAAAGCGUGGGGAUCAAACA
This 422-nucleotide ribosomal RNA is filed under the name uncultured bacterium. RNAcentral's name for it is "bacterial SSU rRNA". It matches the Rfam family "Bacterial small subunit ribosomal RNA", at positions 355 to 774 of the family's 1533-position model. The record is from RNAcentral.